UUUUUUUAUUUUUGAUUGUUUGAUUUAAAAAGGAGAAAUUUUUGAAAUAAAAUAUGGGUUAUGUAAAAUAUUUUUUUUGCCUUUUGUAUAAUGAUUUUUAGAUUACUUAAAAAAAAUUUUUUAUAUUCGAAAUAAAAAGGUAAGAUGUGUUAUUAUUUAAUUUUUGUUGAAGUAAAAAUUAAAAUUCAUCGGUUUAGAAAUUAAAAUCGAAUUUUAUGUUAUAUAAUUAGUUCUAUAAAUAAAUAUAUUCCUUUGGGGACAGCUCAAAGGAGAUAAAAAAAAAAAAAACCAAAAAAAACCAACAAAAAAGUGUUAAAUGUGUUAAUAAAAGGUAUUAAAAUAAGAAUUAGUGUAAUUAUUAAAGAAUAAGUAUGUUAAAAAUAAUUAAUAAUAUAUUAUUAUUAGGUAAAUAUUAAAAUUUAUUAAGGGAUUCGACAAAUAUUAAUGGGUAAAAGUUUACUAAAUUCUGAGUUGAUUGAGUACAAAUGAUCAAUGGUGUCUGCUCAAUGUUUAUUAUUAAUAGCAGUUUUAUUUAAAGUAGCGUAGUAAUUUGUCUAUUAAUUGUAGUCUAGUGAAGGGCGUUUAUUCUAAUCUAUCUUAAUGAAUUUAACAAAAAUUCCUUAAAGGUGAAAAUGCCUGGUUUUUAAAAAAAGAGAAAAAGACCCUAGGUAGUUUAAUGUAAUUGUAAUUAUUUAUGAGGAGUUUUGCUGGGGAAGUGUUUCUUAAUUUUAAUAAGAAAAGUAAUUUUUUUAGUUCAAAAGAAUUAUGAAAAUUUAAGUACUAACCCUAGGGAUAACAGCGCAAUAAAACUAGGAGAGUUCAUAUUAAUUAGUUAGUUUACGACCUCGAUGUCGACUUAAGAUUAUUUAAGGUGCAGAAAUUUUAAAAUUUAUGUUUGUUCACCAAUUUAAAUCUUACGUGAGUUGGGUUAAGAACGGGGCAAACUUAGUUUGGAUUUUUUCUUUUAUUAAUUUAUGUUUAAUAGUACGAAAGGAAUUUAUACGAUUUUUG
This 1011-nucleotide ribosomal RNA is filed under the name Polyandrocarpa misakiensis. Its description in RNAcentral is "partial 16S ribosomal RNA". The stretch from base 792 to 952 matches the Rfam family "Archaeal large subunit ribosomal RNA", at positions 2542 to 2701 of the family's 2987-position model. Lineage: Eukaryota; Metazoa; Chordata; Ascidiacea; Stolidobranchia; Styelidae. The record is from RNAcentral.